This 270-nucleotide ribosomal RNA is filed under the name uncultured archaeon. RNAcentral describes it as "partial 16S ribosomal RNA". It matches the Rfam family "Archaeal small subunit ribosomal RNA", at positions 477 to 747 of the family's 1478-position model. The record is from RNAcentral.
CAGCACCUCAAGUGGUCAGGAUGAUUAUUGGGCCUAAAGCAUCCGUAGCCUGCUUUGCCAGUUUUCGGUUAAAUCCAUACGCUCAACGUACAGGCUGCCGGGAAUACUGCAGCGCUAGGGAGUGGGAGAGGUAGACGGUACUCGGUAGGAAGGGGUAAAAUCCUUUGAUCUAUUGAUGACCACCUGUGGCGAAGGCGGUCUACCAGAACACGUCCGACGGUGAGGGAUGAAAGCUGGGGGAGCAAACCGGAUUAGAUACCCGAGUAGUCC